This 169-nucleotide ribosomal RNA is filed under the name Phlebiopsis sp. RNAcentral describes it as "partial large subunit ribosomal RNA". It matches the Rfam family "Eukaryotic large subunit ribosomal RNA", at positions 99 to 261 of the family's 3401-position model. Lineage: Eukaryota; Fungi; Basidiomycota; Agaricomycetes; Polyporales; Phanerochaetaceae. The record is from RNAcentral.
CGGGAAAAGCUCAAAUUUAAAAUCUGGCAGUCUUUGAUUGUCCGAGUUGUAGUCUGGAGAAGCGUUUUCCGCGCUGGACCGUGUACAAGUCUCUUGGAACAGAGCGUCAUAGAGGGUGAGAAUCCCGUCUUUGACACGGACUACCAGUGCUUUGUGAUGCGCUCUCAAA